RNAcentral lists this long non-coding RNA (4785 nucleotides) under Sus scrofa (pig). Its description in RNAcentral is "lncRNA (ENSSSCG00000057443.1)". The record is from RNAcentral. Lineage: Eukaryota; Metazoa; Chordata; Mammalia; Artiodactyla; Suidae.
CAUUUCUUGGGCUGCUCGCGCGGCAUAUGGGAGGUUCCCAGGCUAGGGGUCUAAUCGGAGUUGUAGUUGCCAGCCUACGCCGGAGCCACAACAUCACGGGAUCCGAGCCGCGUCUGCGACCUACACCACAGCUCAUGGCAACGCCGGAUCAUUAACCCACUGAGCAAGGGCAGGGAUCGAACCCGCAACCUCAUGGUUCCUAGUCGGAUUCAUUAACCACUGCGCCAUGAUGGGAACUCCCUAGAGGAAGGUUUUGAAGUGGACUUGAAACUUUGACCUCAGUGGAAGGGCACCAGUACUGGUACUGGUGUGGCAGGAUGAGGCUGGUUCUAUGAGUGUGGGGGAAGAUACCCAAACUGGAUUCAGCUGCUGCUCCAGGAAGGUGCUGCCAGAGGUGAAGAAGCAUUUCUAAGAUGUUGUUCAAUUAGGACUAGGGAACAUACUGGAAGUAAACUGGAAGGAAAUAAGAUUGAGCAAUUGCCCCCCACCCCCCACCCCCCCAGCCUCACUUUCUCCCUCUUGUGUACCCCAGAAAAGGAGUUUGGUUGCAGUUCCAAUCCUCACAUCAUGGAGUAAGCUAUAGCAUGGUAGGUUUGGAGCUGAGAAGCAACAGCUUAAUAGCUGGCACACCUACUUGUGUGCUAAGCAGUGUGCUAAGCUUUAUAGGAUGGACAGGGAUGGAGAAGGUAGUGUUUGUCUUCAAGGAGCUUUCACUUUCACAGGGCAGAAAAAACAUGUGCAUCAAUAGCGCUAAUAAAAAUUGAGAUGAGCUAUUGCUGUCCCAGGAGUAUGAAAACAGAAUGUUGUGGGUGGUCAGAAGGAGGAUAAAUCACUUUCAGGUGGGGUUUGGAGAAACUUCUUUGGGAGAAGUUGUUUUUCAACUGGUGAUCACUUCUUCUUUCUGGAAUCCUCUGAGAGGGCUCUCCUCUUUUCAGAAAGGCUUCCCUGAUUCCCAAAACAAAUGGAUGUUUCUUCCCUUGUAUCUCCAUGGAAGUCUUAACCUCCAACACUUAUUAUGUAUCAGAUAUGUACUGGCCUAAGCACCAAGAAAGUAUUACUGCUUUUGAUCUUCACAGUAACCCUAUGAAGUUGAUCCGGUUAUCCUCCCACUGUAUUAAGGAGUAGGCAGUGCAUAACUACUUUAUGGGUGUAAAAUGCUCCAGAUUUUGAUAGUAAAAGUGCCCUAGAUUCUGAUUUAGGUGAUCUGACUCCAUAACUUGUGCACUGACCUAUCAUAUCAGACUGCUUUUCCAAUAAAGUCUAUUUACAUCUUCAUUAAAGAACUUCACUAUAUGGUUGUUAUUUAUAUAUGUGUGUCUCCCCUGGGUUACUUUUAGGAGGUAUUAUUCAAAUUCGUAAAAGUGGUAGGACCAGUGUUUGGUUCUAGUUAGUUCCUCUGUUUUCUGAGUGAAUGAAUAUGGUUGCUUCCAUCGUGCUUGGCGUUGUAGGAGGGAAAUUAACAUGGUGGUUACACGUAGGAGACUCAAAGGUCUCCUAGGGGAGUGUAUGUCAUUGUUCCACUAGGACAGCAGGGAUCAUUAAGUGUUUAGAAUAGAGGGAAUUAAAUGCAGAGAAUUAGUCACACAGGUUUUGGAGAGGCUAGGAAGUCAAAGGAUCACAUGGCAACCUUGAUAUUAGCAAUGGUAGGAAGCCCUUACUGGGCAGGAGGGACACGUGGAGGCAGUGGAGACUGAAACCAUGCCAGACCUGUGCAGAGAUCUUGAUGCUGGCCAUUCAGCCUGAGUCAGAGAGGGAGCAUGAUCUACCCUGCUUCUCUUUUUUCCUGUCUUCUAGUCUCUUUCCAUUACUUUGUACCAACUUUCACAGGUGUCUGGAAACAGCCUGCAAGAGCCAUUGUCCGUGCAAUAUAGAGCAGAGCAAAUAGGGGAUGCAAACUAGAACUGAGGCCAGACAAAUCCAGAAGUGGCACACAUAGUGGCACAUGUCUCAUCAGCAAAUGUGGGUUGAAACUGUAGUAGACUACAAGAAUGAUCUCUCAAAAGGUACCAGCUCUCUUUCUCCUCUGGAUUUGAAUCAGGGCUGGUUUUGAGCUUGGGUUUGGUCAUUGGAGAGUAGUGAGUGGAAUGCAAGCAGAGGAUCAAAAACAGUGUGCACAUUAGGACCUGCCCUCCCUUAUGGCACAUAGAGCCCUGAGGUUGCCGGGUGAGGGAGCCUGAGCUAGCCUCUGGGUAAUGGGAGGCUGCAUGGAUGAGAGCCCAGAUACCCUGGCCAGCCUCCAUCUGACCCAACAGCUGACCUAGCAGCUGACUUCAGACAUCUCAGUGAAGCCCAGGUGAAAUCAGUUGAGCUCAGCCCAAGUCUCUGACCUACAGAUUUAUAAACUACAUAAAUGAUUGUUCUGAGCUACCAAGUUUUGGAGUAGUUUGUUAUGCAGCAAAGCUAACUGAUAGAUAAUCCCAGCUCUGCCACUUACUAGUUACGUUAUAUUGUGCAAAUUGUUUCAUCUUGAAGCCUUAUGUUCUUUCUUUGUGACAUGGGGAUAAAUAAUAACACAUCAUAGGACAAUUGGGAAGAUUUAGUGAAAAAAAAUGCAUGUAAAAUAGAGACAUGGUGCCAGGUACAUGAUGAGUGCUCAAUAAACUGUAGCUUUUAUGAUGACGAUUUGAGGCCAUUCUAGCCUGUCUGCUUUGUCUAAUUGUUGACGCUCUGUAUGUGGGAAAAUGAUGAGGUUAUUGCUUAACAGGGCACAAAUGUUUUAUUAAGAAGCUGCCUUAAUUUUCCUGCUGGCAUGAGGCAAAUGAAGAGGGCAGAUAUUUUGUUAAUUAAAAUUUUAAAAGGACAUAAUUCUCUCUUUGGAAGGAGUAUAUGUAAGUCUGCAAAGCUAAAUCUCUGAAACAGAAGAUAUUCACAAAGGUAUGGCUUGAAUAACAAUUAUGAUGCACACAGAACGUACGUUUGUGUUAGAGAUGUUGUGGAUAAGAUUAUGUCCGAAGGUGCAAGAUAAUAAAUAGCUGAAACUCAUUCGUUCACAUAAAAUCGAUGUGCAUUGCCAUAUUCCAGAUGCUUGAUUGUGGUUCUUCAAUAAUGAGUUGCCAAUUCCUUUCUCUAGAGAAGGAUUAACAGAUUGCAAUGCAAUCUGUUGGUGUUCUUUGAUGGAGAUUCUCAGUCACUGCCACCACCAAGGAGUUUGGGAUCCUAAACACAGAGGCUUUUCUGAGGGAACUGUGUGUCAGUGCUGGGUGUUGCAGCCAUUCCUAUUAAAUAGGAAAUAUAAACUAUCAGCUAAAGAGUGAGAUUUGAGGAGCUUCAAAAAGGGAGCAGAAACUGGCGAAGAAUAUCACAGAGAGGAGCCAACAAUUAAAUUACAGUGUAUGUUUUACAGAACAAGAUGUCUUCACAAGAAACAAAGGAAAGCUGAUAAAAAUGAGUUAUGGGGGAUUAAAAGACCAUAAAACCUCGAGUUAGUUGGAAGUUGUAUCUUUAAAUCCUUGGGCAGAGAUGAGGCUGUGGAGAAAAAGUUUGGUGUGGCGAGCAAGUUAAGAUUUCCUCUGAGAUGUGUAAGAAGGAUCACAAGGGGUGGAGUAAGCUCACGGGUCAUGAUGCUGCUGAUUUCUGGGUAGUAAAUUUCGUUGCUUUCAGUUGAUUUUUAGAUCUAAUUCACUCAAGUUAUGGAAAUAGUACAUGCUCAUAGCCAAAAGUAUGGCACAGUGGUUAAGAUCUGGAAUCAACCUGCCUGUGCUCAGAUCCUUCAUGGCUGUGGGAUUUGAAGAAAGUUCACCUCUCUAAGCCUUAUGUAUAUAAAGGGUAAUGGCUUUUUUAUGUUGUUGUUUUUUGGCUUUUUGGCUUUUCUAGGGCUGCUCCUGCAGCAUAUGGAGGUUCCCAGGCUAGGGGUCUAAUCGGAGCUGUAGCCGCUGGCCUACGCCAGAGCCACAGCAAUGCGGGAUCUGAGCCGAGUCUGUGACCUACACCACAGCUCACGGCAACACCGGAUCGUUAACCCACUGAGCAAGGCCAGGGAUCAAACCCGCAACCUCAUGGUUCCUGGUUGGAUUCGUUAACACUGCGCCACGAGGGGAAAUCCUAAAGGUGCCUGCCAAAUAGCACCCACAAAUACUAGUUAUUGGGGAAAAGUUGGAAGAGACAGCAAAGUUGAUAAAUAAGAAAAAAAUACCCCCUAUCACUCAGGAAGCAAUUACCGUUAAUAUUUUGAUGUAUUUUCUUUUGGAAUUCAUGUCUUUUUAAAAGGAUAUUGGUAAACUCACAUAAGCUCAGAGAAGACUGGCAUAUCUACUACUCAGGAGAAUUUCUUUAGGGAGAAAAUGUAAAGUGAGAUAGGUUAAUUCAAAUGAAAACAAUUUUUAUACUAUAGCAGGUAGGUUUUUUAAAAGAAGGUUAUAAGGUUAUAAAUUCAGAGGAUUCAUUGGAAUUAAAGAAUGGUUUUUAUAAACUCAUAGAAAAGCUGGUUUUGAACAUCUGUCAUUUUGUAAAAUGUGGAUAAUAUCCAGUGUGGUUGAGAGGGUGGGGAAAUAGAUGUGUUUAUUUUAUUUUAUUUAUUUAAUUUAAUUUUAAUUUUAUUUUUUUGCUCUUUAGGACUGCACCUGCAGCAUAUGAAAGUUCCCAAGCUAGGGGGUGAAUUGGAGCUACAUGCUACAGGUGCCAGCCUAGGCCACAGCCACAGCAACGUGGGAUCUGAGCUGCAUCUGUGACCUACAGCACAGCUCACAGCAAUUCUGGAGCCUUAACCCACCAAGCAAGGCCAGGGAUCAAACCUGCAUCCUCAUGGGUAUUAGUUGGGCUUGUUAGCACUGAGCCACAAUGGGAACU